Molecule: ribosomal RNA, 379 nt
Filed under: uncultured eukaryote
Lineage: Eukaryota
Description: partial 18S ribosomal RNA
Rfam family: Eukaryotic small subunit ribosomal RNA
Source: RNAcentral
CAAUAGCGUAUAUUAAAGUUGUUGCAGUUAGAACGCUCGUAGUCGGAUUUCGGGUCGGGCCGACCGGUCUGCCGAUGGGUACGCACUGGUCGGCGCGUCCUUCCUCUCGGAGACUGUUCCUACUCUUAACUGAGCGGGAGCAGGAUACGGGACUUUUACUUUGAAAAAAUCAGAGUGUUUCAAGCAGGCAGCUCGCUCUUGCAUGGAUUAGCAUGGGAUAAUGAAAUAGGACUUUGGUGCUAUUUUGUUGGUUUCGAACACCGAAGUAAUGAUGAGAAGGGGCAGUCAGGGGCACUCGUAUUCCGCCGAGAGAGGUGAAAUUCUCAGACCAGCGGAAGACGAACCACUGCGAAAGCAUUUGCCAGGGAUGUUUUCACUG